AAUUUAAUUUUAAGGAUUUUGAAAAUCCUUCUCGGUAUAGUAAAUUACCUUAAAUUU
Molecule: transfer RNA, 57 nt
Filed under: Megaustenia imperator imperator
Lineage: Eukaryota; Metazoa; Mollusca; Gastropoda; Stylommatophora; Ariophantidae
Description: tRNA-Ser
Source: RNAcentral